CGCCCAUGUAAACGACAUAUUACACAACCAGAACAAAAGUGAACUCCAUCUUCAUUUAAACAAAAAACUGAAGCGCUUUAGGCCCAACGGCCACAGAUGACAACAAGCAAUCAAUCAUCAACAAUCAGUUCACAAAUAAAGAGACAUGGUUCAAAUGAAAUAAAAUGGCUCAACAAGAGACUUAGUGAAGAAAAAGCUUUUGACUGAUGAUUCUGACCAAACUGAAAUUGUUCUAGAAGACUCCGUACAACACUUGUGAAUGAUCAUCGGCCAGAAACCCUCCACAGGGAUUUUCUUGUGGGCAGAGCCAAACAAUUUCUUGGUCUGCUGACACACCUUCUCAUGAGGUGAAAGGAGAUUCUUCUCCUCGGUGCAACUGGACAGGUCAUUUCAUCUUUAAGAAAACAACAAAUUGGUACAUUUGUCAUGGUUGAAACGUGUUGUCGGUCAUGCUUACUAUAUACUGAAAGGUAAUGACAUAAUACUCAUCAGGCAUCUCUUUGAUAGUUAGUGAUUAGUUAAUAUGAAAGCAAUGAGAACAUUCACAUUGAUGAUAUUGUCAAACUCCCAGUUGCAUGGUCAAUAUGACUAACAUGGUGAUCAGUUAAAACCCAACCUCAUGGGAAAUGUGGUUUCACAAAAUUCCACUCUAACAAAGGACGUUCAAGCCUAUUUGUGAUAAUCAGUUUUCAGUGUUUACUUUUAACCCUCUUGUAGUUAAAUGAAAACCACAUGCUUCCCUGGGGGGACAAGGCAAAAACAAUCUACACUAAGUGCUAGUUAAAGACAGGGAAGCUCAGGAUACCAGGGGUAUCACAGGAAGUAACACAGGAAGCUGCGGGAGAGGCUUCCUCUCUAGACCUUGGCAGUCAGGGCUUCUGCCAAAGGUCAAAACACGCCUGCUUCCGACCCGUCUCUGUCUGGACACGCGCUCGCUUGCGCUAACGCCACCGCGCUGACCCUGUCUCAUCCAUUGUUAAACGUUGACAAUGACUGUCCAGAAGGUGGCGCCAUUACAAGCUGCUGAAAAUACGACUUGGGGCGGGGUCACGCCCCUCGGGUCAACUUGACGUUUUGUCAUAAAAUUAGAUUCCAAGGUUUUCUUUUCUUCUCGGCGGGCGGCCCUUCAAGUUGGCCUCGAUGGAGGAUGCCACAUCUGUCAAGAGUAAUGACAUGUUUUUACAGUUGACUUUUCAUUUCAGCGUUGUUGCAUUUGGAGCCUGGAUCCCGGUGGAUCUUCGAUGUUGUGAGGCCGUCUUGCGGUCACGCUGUUUCAGUCCACGGUAUCAUGACCGCUGCCUGGUACCCGGCAAAUAACCCCAAGCACGCUUCCAUGACCGUGGGUUGUUCUUUGAAAAUGACAGUCGUGAGUGUCUGAUGUCUACAGACAUACUGCCCUGGUUGAAGUCAUCAUGCCAUUUGUGUUUGUAAAACAUGUUCAAAGCCUCGUCAGAAAUGUUCCAUAUUUACUUGCCCAGUUCAGCUAAUUCAAGUGUGAAAAGGUCUGCAGUAAACUAUCCAGAUCCUCUUCCGUCCUGUUUAAAUCAACUGACCUUUAAACGUGUUUGUUGUUCAAAAGAUGAAAAAUAUAUUUUUAUUUAUGGUUUCAAUUUGUUCAUCCGAAGAUUGAAACCAUAAAUAAACUGAAGAGCCCAUGCCCUCCUGGGUCUUCCCAGAUCUACAGCCCUUCAACAAAGUCACACCAGCCAUGUCACCACACCAUCUCCCACCAUGCACCAGACAACUCACAGCCAAGCCAGACAUUUCACCAGAUAUCACCCUCCCAGUUACCAGGACACACGCCCUGGACAGAACAGCCUCCCACACAAUGUUACUGGCGAAGUCACAGAUGCAGAGUGUGCGAACGUCUUCUGACCACACCGCCCUCCUGUCCUGACCACACCCACCACGGUCUGCUGAGCUGAAGGGCACCAUGUGAUUGGCCAGCUGGUUGUAACAUAAUGUACGAUUACGCUGUUGUUCUUCAUUGUAGCCAAGAAAGAACAUUGAUGUGUGAGGCUCUUGGUGGCCACAGUGUUUGACUGAAAGCUUUUCAUACACUGGCCGGCAAUCACUGAAAAGCGACGCGUUGGGCUGUUGUUCACCACCGUGUAACGUGUAAUGUUACAGGGACAAACAGACCGUUUUUGGGACUCCAUCAGACAGGCCUCAUUUGCUCCCAGGACCCGAUCCCCAUGAGGCAGAGCUGCCACAUGUCUUCAGCUGUACAGAGAUAAGCCGCCUGAGUCUUUCCUGUGUCGGUGGAACCAGCGAUAGGAGGGGGGCUUGGGGGCUUGGCUGCGCAUGAUAAGCCCAGCGAUGCCAUCCUGUGGGCCUUAUCGUCCGUGCCAGCGCGCCUCGACAGUUAGACCCGUGGCCAAAGAACUGUUGUCAUGACGCCGGCGUCGGCUUGUCUUCCAGCAGAACGCGUCGCGGUGUGUCUGUCAGAAUGCAUGACCGCAGUGUCUGUGUGUAACAUUGGGUGAACAACAGCACGGUUCUUCACCGAUUGUUAAACACAGUCCUAUUUUCACUUCUCAUUUGAAACCGCGGCCCCAAAGCAUGUUAAGAAAACGCUCCAGCUAAAACAUCAACUGAAAUUAUGUCAGAUCUCAUUCUGGAUAAGGACUGUGCAGUGAAGUUAAAUUGCAUAUGUAUACAUGUGUUGUUGUUGUUGUAAAUUGUCUUAUAAAAAUGUUGAAGAUUUGAACUUUUGAUAUGUACCAUAA
Molecule: long non-coding RNA, 2729 nt
Organism: Esox lucius (northern pike)
Lineage: Eukaryota; Metazoa; Chordata; Actinopteri; Esociformes; Esocidae
Source: Ensembl